GCCUGGCUGGCUCAGUCAGUAGAGCAUGUGACUCUUAAUCAUAGGGUUGUAAGUUCGAGCCCUAUAUUGGGUA
This 73-nucleotide transfer RNA is filed under the name Canis lupus familiaris (dog). It matches the Rfam family "tRNA". From Rfam's summary of the family: Transfer RNA (tRNA) molecules are approximately 80 nucleotides in length. Their secondary structure includes four short double-helical elements and three loops (D, anti-codon, and T loops). The record is from Rfam by way of RNAcentral. Lineage: Eukaryota; Metazoa; Chordata; Mammalia; Carnivora; Canidae. RNAcentral also lists the same sequence under 1 other name.